UAACAUGUUGAACCGCAUGGUUCUACAGUGAAAGACGGUCUUGCUGUCACUUAUAGAUGGACCCGCGCCGUAUUAGCUAGUUGGUGGGGUAACGGCCUACCAAGGCGACGAUACGUAGCCGACCUGAGAGGGUGAUCGGCCACACUGGAACUGAGACACGGUCCAGACUCCUACGGGAGGCAGCAGUAGGGAAUCUUCCGCAAUGGGCGAAAGCCUGACGGAGCAACGCCGCGUGAGUGAUGAAGGUCUUCGGAUCGUAAAGCUCUGUUGUUAGGGAAGAACAAAUGUGUAAGUAACUGUGCACAUCUUGACGGUACCUAACCAGAAAGCCACGGCUAACUACGUGCCAGCAGCCGCGGUAAUACGUAGGUGGCAAGCGUUAUCCGGAAUUAUUGGGCGUAAAGCGCGCGUAGGCGGUUUUUUAAGUCUGAUGUGAAAGCCCACGGCUCAACCGUGGAGGGUCAUUGGAAACUGGAAAACUUGAGUGCAGAAGAAGAAAGUGGAAUUCCAUGUGUAGCGGUGAAAUGCGCAGAGAUAUGGAGGAACACCAGUGGCGAAAGCGGCUUUCUGGUCUGCAACUGACGCUUAUGUGCGAGAGCGUGGGGAUCAAACAGGAUUAGAUACCCUGGUAGUCCACGCCCUAAACGAUGAGUGCUAAAUGUUAUGGGGGUGUCCCCCCCUUAAUGCUGCAGCUAACGCAUUAAACACUCCCUCCGGGGGAGUACGGUCGCAAGACUGAAACUCAAAGGA
Molecule: ribosomal RNA, 750 nt
Filed under: Staphylococcus pseudintermedius
Lineage: Bacteria; Bacillati; Bacillota; Bacilli; Caryophanales; Staphylococcaceae
Description: bacterial SSU rRNA
Rfam family: Bacterial small subunit ribosomal RNA
Source: RNAcentral